RNAcentral lists this ribosomal RNA (497 nucleotides) under uncultured bacterium. RNAcentral describes it as "partial 16S ribosomal RNA". It matches the Rfam family "Bacterial small subunit ribosomal RNA", at positions 28 to 507 of the family's 1533-position model. The record is from RNAcentral.
GAUGAACGCUGGCGGCGUGCCUAAUACAUGCAAGUCGAGCGAACAGACGAGGAGCUUGCUCCUCUGACGUUAGCGGCGGACGGGUGAGUAACACGUGGAUAACCUACCUAUAAGACUGGGAUAACUUCGGGACACCGGAGCUAAUACCGUAUAAUAUAUUGAACCUCAUUGUUCAAUAGUGAAAGACGGUUUUGCUGACACUUAUAGAUGGAUCCGCGCCGCAUUAGCUAGUUGGUAAGGUAACGGCUUACCAAGGCAACGAUGCGUAGCCGACCUGAGAGGGUGAUCGGCCACACUGGAACUGAGACACGGUCCAGACUCCUACGGGAGGCAGCAGUAGGGAAUCUUCCGCAAUGGGCGAAAGCCUGACGGAGCAACGCCGCGUGAGUGAUGAAGGUCUUCGGAUCGUAAAACUCUGUUAUUAGGGAAGAACAAAUGUGUAAGUAACUAUGCACGUCUUGACGGUACCUAAUCAGAAAGCCACGGCUAACUACGUG